This 498-nucleotide ribosomal RNA is filed under the name uncultured bacterium. Its description in RNAcentral is "partial 16S ribosomal RNA". It matches the Rfam family "Bacterial small subunit ribosomal RNA", at positions 29 to 523 of the family's 1533-position model. The record is from RNAcentral.
AUUGAACGCUGGCGGCAUGCCUUACACAUGCAAGUCGAACGGUAACGCGGGGCAACCUGGCGACGAGUGGCGAACGGGUGAGUAAUGUAUCGGAACGUGCCCAGUUGUGGGGGAUAACUGCUCGAAAGAGCAGCUAAUACCGCAUACGACCUGAGGGUGAAAGCGGGGGAUCGCAAGACCUCGCGCAAUUGGAGCGGCCGAUAUCAGAUUAGGUAGUUGGUGGGGUAAAGGCUCACCAAGCCGACGAUCGGUGGCUGGUCUGAGAGGACGACCAGCCACACUGGGACUGAGACACCGCCCAGAGUCCUACCGGAGGCAGCAGUGGGGAAUUUUGGACAAUGGACGCAAGUCUGAUCCCGCCAUGCCGCGUGCGGGAAGAAGGCCUUCGGGUUGUAAACCGCUUUUGUCAGGGAAGAAAAGGCUCCUUCUAAUAUAGGGGGCUCAUGACGGUACCUGAAGAAUAAGCACCGGCUAACUACGUGCCAGCAGCCGCGGUAA